This 595-nucleotide long non-coding RNA is filed under the name Androctonus crassicauda. The record is from RNAcentral. Lineage: Eukaryota; Metazoa; Arthropoda; Arachnida; Scorpiones; Buthidae.
AGCAGAGCCAUUCAUAUUUCUUAAGAACAAAAUAUGGAAAUAUAAUAAAUUAGCUGGAAAAUUUCAGUUUCUGAAAGAAUACAGACUCAACAAGAUGUUAUCAAUGUCAUUCUACAGGUUAAGCAAAUAUACAAAGUCACUAAGGAUUCUAAGAGAUACAAAAGUGAGAUAUUUAUGCUAUGCAAUCACAGAUACUAAAAGAGAUUUGUUUAAGACCAAAAUGCAAUUAGAUGCUGCAAGAUGCAAUUUCCUAAGAACAAGCAUGGACAUACUAUUGAGGAGGAUCUUUGAUAACUGGGAAGAAGUGCAACAAUACAGUAUAUAAAGAAUAGAUACAUUAAAAAAUUCAAAUGGAUAUUGAAGAACCAGAUCCAUAAAAAGAUGAGAAUGCUUAGAACAUAUGAAAUACUUGGAGAUAUCCCUGUCCUGAAAGCAGUAGAUGAAUUUUUACUAUGUAAGCCAAAGGCCUAGGCUCCAUUAUACCUGAAAACUAAAAUUUAUACCAUAAACUGAAAAGAGAAAAGUUAUGUUUCAAACUAGUUUCAGUUUAUGCUUUUAGCUUCACAUAAACAUAAAUAAGUUAACAGAACUUUAC